AAACCGGGGCUAAUACCGGAUGGUUGUUUGAACCGCAUGGUUCAGACAUAAAAGGUGGCUUCGGCUACCACUUACAGAUGGACCCGCGGCGCAUUAGCUAGUUGGUGAGGUAACGGCUCACCAAGGCGACGAUGCGUAGCCGACCUGAGAGGGUGAUCGGCCACACUGGGACUGAGACACGGCCCAGACUCCUACGGGAGGCAGCAGUAGGGAAUCUUCCGCAAUGGACGAAAGUCUGACGGAGCAACGCCGCGUGAGUGAUGAAGGUUUUCGGAUCGUAAAGCUCUGUUGUUAGGGAAGAACAAGUGCCGUUCAAAUAGGGCGGCACCUUGACGGUACCUAACCAGAAAGCCACGGCUAACUACGUGCCAGCAGCCGCGGUAAUACGUAGGUGGCAAGCGUUGUCCGGAAUUAUUGGGCGUAAAGGGCUCGCAGGCGGUUUCUUAAGUCUGAUGUGAAAGCCCCCGGCUCAACCGGGGAGGGUCAUUGGAAACUGGGGAACUUGAGUGCAGAAGAGGAGAGUGGAAUUCCACGUGUAGCGGUGAAAUGCGUAGAGAUGUGGAGGAACACCAGUGGCGAAGGCGACUCUCUGGUCUGUAACUGACGCUGAGGAGCGAAAGCGUGGGGAGCGAACAGGAUUAGAUACCCUGGUAGUCCACGCCGUAAACGAUGAGUGCUAAGUGUUAGGGGGUUUCCGCCCCUUAGUGCUGCAGCUAACGCAUUAAGCACUCCGCCUGGGGAGUACGGUCGCAAGACUGAAACUCAAAGGAAUUGACGGGGGCCCGCACAAGCGGUGGAGCAUGUGGUUUAAUUCGAAGCAACGCGAAGAACCUUACCAGGUCUUGACAUCCUCUGACAAUCCUAGAGAUAGGACGUCCCCUUCGGGGGCAGAGUGACAGGUGGUGCAUGGUUGUCGUCAGCUCGUGUCGUGAGAUGUUGGGUUAAGUCCCGCAACGAGCGCAACCCUUGAUCUUAGUUGCCAGCAUUCAGUUGGGCACUCUAAGGUGACUGCCGGUGACAAACCGGAGGAAGGUGGGGAUGACGUCAAAUCAUCAUGCCCCUUAUGACCUGGGCUACACACGUGCUACAAUGGACAGAACAAAGGGCAGCGAAACCGCGAGGUUAAGCCAAUCCCACAAAUCUGUUCUCAGUUCGGAUCGCAGUCUGCAACUCGACUGCGUGAAGCUGGAAUCGCUAGUAAUCGCGGAUCA
Molecule: ribosomal RNA, 1211 nt
Filed under: Bacillus amyloliquefaciens
Lineage: Bacteria; Bacillati; Bacillota; Bacilli; Caryophanales; Bacillaceae
Description: bacterial SSU rRNA
Rfam family: Bacterial small subunit ribosomal RNA
Source: RNAcentral